CUCUCUCUCUCUCUCUCUCUCUCUCUGACAUUUUCUUGUGCUUGGUACAGCGUUUUGCAGGGUAGUGUGGGCGAGUAUUGCUUCCAUAACUGCAAAUCAGCACCAAUUAUAAUUGUCCCUGGGAAAGAUGCUGGAGAGUUAUCUGUUCUCUAAUCUGACGGGAUGAACUCACUUUUCAUGAGGAGAUUUCAGUCAUGCUUCCUUUUUCUUUACCCUUCUACCUUUCAAUUUCUCAUUUCCCUUUAUGCUUUUUGUCUUUAGCGUUUGUUUCUGUCUUCUUGGAUUAUUUUGAGAGCCUUCUAGUGUAUAAUGUGAUUUGUUUGGAAUAUUUAAAAUCUUCAUGGGUUUUGAAUUCUUGAAUGUAAUCUAGUUAUUAUUGCCAUCAGGAGAUUCAAAUCGUGA
Amborella trichopoda is the source of this 402-nucleotide non-coding RNA. The record is from RefSeq and is a predicted model, not a curated record. Lineage: Eukaryota; Viridiplantae; Streptophyta; Magnoliopsida; Amborellales; Amborellaceae.